This 105-nucleotide transfer RNA is filed under the name Promethearchaeota archaeon. Its description in RNAcentral is "Candidatus Lokiarchaeota archaeon (marine sediment metagenome) tRNA-Phe". It matches the Rfam family "tRNA". From Rfam's summary of the family: Transfer RNA (tRNA) molecules are approximately 80 nucleotides in length. Their secondary structure includes four short double-helical elements and three loops (D, anti-codon, and T loops). Lineage: Archaea; Promethearchaeati; Promethearchaeota. The record is from RNAcentral.
GCCAAGGUGGCGUAGCCCGGGAACGCACUAGACUGAAGAUCUAGGUAUCAGGGGUUCAAAGUGUGUUUUGCGAUUCGCAACAAUAUGAAAUUCCCCUUCUUGGCA